CUUCUUGUUGUUGUGUGUUCUGUUGUACAAAUGCCAAAUGCCGUCCCAUAUUUAUAGGGGAGGCUUGCCAAGCUCUAGAGAGUCUAGAGAGUUCUAUGACUUUCUANNNNNNNNNNNNNNNNNNNNNNNNNNNNNNNNNNNNNNNNNNNNNNNNNNNNNNNNNNNNNNNNNNNNNNNNNNNNNNNNNNNNNNNNNNNNNNNNNNNNNNNNNNNNNNNNNNNNNNNNNNNNNNNNNNNNNNNNNNNNNNNNNNNNNNNNNNNNNNNNNNNNNNNNNNNNNNNNNNUCCGGAAUCUAGAGUUGCCUAGAAUGUUCCGGAAUUGGGCCAAGCUAGGACUCUUGGCCUUGUGUUGGAUCUCUAGCCCAAGAUUGUGGACGAUUGGGCUAUCAAAUUGGGCGGUCCGCAACAUCCUCCCCCACCUAAGCUCGCGGCAUCCUCGUCCCGCACUCGUGCUUGAAAUUCUGGAUGUGCUGGUACGCCCCUUCUCGAAACCACGCGAUCCGCAAUGAUGUAGUCCACAUCUUUGUCGAAUGCGGUGACAACGGCGGUUGGUGCACGCUUGGAUUCUCCGCGACUUGGGUCUCCCAUGUCUUCGUGAUAUGGCUUGAGAAGACUCACAUGGAAGACCGGAUGGAUCUUGAGUCUUGGCGGAAGUUGGAGUUGAUACGAGACGUUGCCCACACGUCGAACAACUUGGAAGGGUCCCUCGUAGCGUCUUACUAGCCCCUUGUGGAUUUUCCGUAAUGUCUUGAAUUGAUGGGGUAGGAGCUUCAUUAUGACUUGAUCACCUUCCUUGUACUCAACAUGUCGUCUCCUUGUAUCCGCCCAUUUCUUCAUUUUUCUUGUGGCUUUGUCGAGGUUGACUCGCGUGAUGUCUGAUUCCCCAUGUUUGGGUGGCGCCAUGCGGUAGGGCGCCAGGGCUGGUGGCUUCGCACCUUGUUCAGCUCGAUCGAAUGAUCUACCUCUCGCCGCGGUGGGAGCUUUUUCGGAAGUUCUGGCGGCAUCACAUCCUAGCACUCAUUAAGGAUGGCUUGAAUUCGUGGAGGGACUUGGCUUGGCGACAUUCCGCUAUUUCCUUCCUCGUUCAGUUCCCGAAUGGAGACCAAGAAGCUUGGGUCCUUCUUGAUGUACUCAUUAAGGAUGGCUUGAAUUCGUGGAGGGACUUGGCUUGGCGACAUUCCGCUAUUUCCUUCCUCGUUCAGUUCCCGAAUGGAGACCAAGAAGCUUGGGUCCUUUCUUGAAAGCCUUCUUGAAUUGCAUGGCGGAGAGUGUCUUCUCCUCGGACUUGCAUCUCUCCACGGGUACCAUGCAUGCCUUGCUCCCGUCAAGUAUGCUUUGGGAGUUUGUAGCGGGCAGCGGGAAGGCAUAGGCUUGGUCGAAGAAUUCCAUGCCAAGGACCAUCUUGAAGUCAUCCAUGGGCACAAUAGAGAAGUGGAGCUUUCCACUCCACGUUCCGAGUGUUAACUGCACGCCUUGUGCAGUCCCCCAAUUGGCUCGGCGGGUGAGUUUACCGCCUUCAUUAUGCCUCCUUCCUUGGUGGCCUUGAGGCCUAAGCGUUUGGCCUCGUCUAUGGUCAUGAAGUUGUCUAUCGCUCCCGUGUCUAGCAGAGUUGGGGUUCCUCCGAGGACAUUGUGGGGUUGCUCUUUAGUUGGGCAGCAAGAGCGUUAAGCGACUUCUUUAUGUCUAGCAGCGCACGAACGGACUGGCCAUUUAUCUUGCCGCUUACAUACAUGAGCCCCUUCUACGGGUGCGGGUUGUUGGCGAUUAAGUGCGCCAAGGCGUUGGAGAGAACCCAUGCAGAGUUGGGGUUUCUCCGGGGACAUUGUGGGGUUGCUCUUUAGCGUUGAGCGACUUCUUUUCUGGACAGUCGCGCACCCAAUGAGGGCCAUUGCAUAUAAAGCAUGGGCUUCACGGUUUUGGUGCCUCCUUCUUGCCCUCCGAUUUACCUUGCCCACUCCUGUUGCAAGGCGGCUUUUUCUGCCCCCAAUCUUUGCGGCUGUUGCCCUUGUCCUUGCGACUCUCUCCCCCCACCUUUGCCUUGGUUGGCCUUUUUGUCUUUAGAUUGGGUAGAGUAUUCGGUGAGCGAUUCCACAACGACGAUGUCGUCGUCGAGCGUUUGAACGCCACACCUAUCAAGCUCGGUCUUGGCCCAAUCCUUGAGGCCAUCUUGGAAGUAGAAGAGUGAAUCCUUGUCGGACAUGUUUCUUAUCUCCAACAUGAGGAUAGUAAACUCAUUGAUGUAGUCUCACAUACUACCCGAUUGUUUGAGGCGACGUAAGCGCGCUCGCGCUUCCUUUUCUGCAUUGUUUGGGGCGAAUUGCUUUCGGAGUUCUUUCUUGAAGUCGGCCCAAGUGUCGAUGGGGAAGAUUCCCUUGCCCAUCUCGCCAUGCUUGCGACGCCACCAUAGUUGUGCAGCGCCUCUAAGAUAAGUGGGUGCAGUGCCCACUUUAGAUGCCUCAUCUCGUACACCAACGUCAUCGAAGUAUUGAUCAAGUUCGAAUAGGAAGUUGUGCACGAUGGUUGCAUUCGUGUCCCAUCAUAGGUGUCGGGCUUUGGCACGUCAAUGCGGUGCGCAUCACUCGAGUUGGCGGAGGCUGGACUUGGGGAGAGUGUGCGCUUAUGCCAUGCCCAAUCCGAGCGGAUUUCAUCCACUUCCGCACGGACAACACGUAGUUCGUCCUGGACAAAACUAUGAAGUUUUAGCAACUCGUCAUGAAAUGAACAAAACUCCCCUCGGAGAAGGUUCGCUUGUUCUUGGAUGAGUGCCUUUGUUGCCACCGUGAACUCGGCAUAUUCGCCCUCGAGACCAUCCACUUGUUCCUUCAAUCCCUCGAGGCUUUCUUGAGUGGCGGAGAAUAUAUUUUCGAGAGUGUUCACACGAGGCUCCAACGCAUCCACAGAUGGGGCCUUGGACUUGUUACGAGUCUUGCCUUGGACUCGUUCUCCAUCACGGCCGCGGCUUGGCUCCGGUGGAACAUCCACACCAGCAACACCCUCUUUUGCUAUGUUCAAACUGUUGGCCGUUGCUUGUGAGUUAACUUGCGUGGGUGCAAACCUUAGCUCUGAUACCACCUGUCACGGGAUGAGUAUUUUGCGCAGAUAACCCGUGCGGCACUUAGACAACUUUUCCAAAGGUUGCUAAGUAAGCCAAGAGCUUCUCGAACAAGAGAAAAGCAAUGGAGCCAAAUAAGAACUUGUAUUGCACUAAGAGAGAAUUACAAUGCUUGAGUUGCUUGUUGUAGUGUUGUUCUUGUAGUUGUGUGUUGUGUGUUCUGUUCUGUGUGUUCUGUGUUCUCAAAUGCCAAAUGCCAUCCCAUAUUUAUAGGGAAAGCUUUCCAAGCUCUAGAGAGUCCAGAGAGUUAUAUGACUUUCUAGCUAUGUACAUGUGCUAGAGUUCUAUGGAGAAUUCUAGAGUUUCUAGAGCAAUGCUUGAGUUGCUUGUUGUAGUAUUUGCUUCUUGUUGUUGUGUGUUCUAUUGUACAAAUGCCAAAUGCCAUCCCAUAUUUAUAGGGGAGGCUUGCCAAGCUCUAGAGAGUCUAGAGAGUUCUAUGACUUUCUAGCUAUGUGCUAGAAUUCUAUGGAGAAUUCUAGAGAUUCUAGAGAUUUCUAGCUAUAUACAUGUGCUGGAAUUCUAUGGAGAAUUCUAGAGUAUUUACAAGCUCAAAUGUGCUAGAGUUCUCUAGAAUAUUCCGGAAUCUAGAGUUGCCUAGAAUGUUCCAGAAUUAGGCCAAGCUAGGACUCUUGGCCUUGUGUU
This 3753-nucleotide long non-coding RNA is filed under the name Nicotiana benthamiana. RNAcentral's name for it is "long non-coding RNA (NBEN_LNC007288)". The record is from RNAcentral. Lineage: Eukaryota; Viridiplantae; Streptophyta; Magnoliopsida; Solanales; Solanaceae.